ACUAAAAACCGGGACGUGAGUGUCCCGAAGAACCGAUUAAAAAUUCAUGCAACCCAGAAGAGCUGACGAGACCAGCACCGCCAGAGGCGCUAGUGUAUUUUACUCACAUUUCGGUAAUUUUAUUUGAAAGUGUUUUGUCCAUUAAAAAUAUUCCGAUAAAGACUUCCAUAUUAAUUUCUUUUGCCUUCAAAUUGUGUGGCAGUUUGUUUAGUGGAUUUUAAAAAGCGAAAAUGUGCAGACGGUUGCUGCGUAUUUCAACACAAGAAAGCGUGUUGCGGCGGAUGAGUUCAGUGCGAUUACUCGGAACAAGAAUGCCACCGCUGAUGAAUCGGGUUCCGCUGGAACUCCGGAUAAGAAGAUGACCCGAGUUUCCCGGUCUAUCAAAUGGAUCGGCGUCGUCAAAGUUGAUGUAAAGACCAACCAAAGUAAG
Armigeres subalbatus is the source of this 430-nucleotide long non-coding RNA. RefSeq lists it as uncharacterized. The transcript is spliced from 2 exons. The record is from RefSeq and is a predicted model, not a curated record. Lineage: Eukaryota; Metazoa; Arthropoda; Insecta; Diptera; Culicidae.